GGGACACGUGGUAUCCUGUCUGAAUAUGGGGGGACCAUCCUCCAAGGCUAAAUACUCCUGACUGACCGAUAGUGAACCAGUACCGUGAGGGAAAGGCGAAAAGAACCCCGGCGAGGGGAGUGAAAAAGAACCUGAAACCGUGUACGUACAAGCAGUGGGAGCCUCUUAAUGGGGUGACUGCGUACCUUUUGUAUAAUGGGUCAGCGACUUAUAUUCUGUAGCAAGGUUAACCGAAUAGGGGAGCCGAAGGGAAACCGAGUCUUAACUGGGCGUUAAGUUGCAGGGUAUAGACCCGAAACCCGGUGAUCUAGCCAUGGGCAGGUUGAAGGUUGGGUAACACUAACUGGAGGACCGAACCGACUAAUGUUGAAAAAUUAGCGGAUGACUUGUGGCUGGGGGUGAAAGGCCAAUCAAACCGGGAGAUAGCUGGUUCUCCCCGAAAGCUAUUUAGGUAGCGCCUCGUGAAUUCAUCUCCGGGGGUAGAGCACUGUUUCGGCAAGGGGGUCAUCCCGACUUACCAACCCGAUGCAAACUGCGAAUACCGGAGAAUGUUAUCACGGGAGACACACGGCGGGUGCUAACGUCCGUCGUGAAGAGGGAAACAACCCAGACCGCCAGCUAAGGUCCCAAAGUCAUGGUUAAGUGGGAAACGAUGUGGGAAGGCCCAGACAGCCAGGAUGUUGGCUUAGAAGCAGCCAUCAUUUAAAGAAAGCGUAAUAGCUCACUGGUCGAGUCGGCCUGCGCGGAAGAUGUAACGGGGCUAAACCAUGCACCGAAGCUGCGGCAGCGACACUAUGUGUUGUUGGGUAGGGGAGCGUUCUGUAAGCCUGUGAAGGUGUACUGUGAGGUAUGCUGGAGGUAUCAGAAGUGCGAAUGCUGACAUAAGUAACGAUAAAGCGGGUGAAAAGCCCGCUCGCCGGAAGACCAAGGGUUCCUGUCCAACGUUAAUCGGGGCAGGGUGAGUCGACCCCUAAGGCGAGGCCGAAAGGCGUAGUCGAUGGGAAACAGGUUAAUAUUCCUGUACUUGGUGUUACUGCGAAGGGGGGACGGAGAAGGCUAUGUUGGCCGGGCGACGGUUGUCCCGGUUUAAGCGUGUAGGCUGGUUUUCCAGGCAAAUCCGGAAAAUCAAGGCUGAGGCGUGAUGACGAGGCACUAC
Molecule: ribosomal RNA, 1156 nt
Filed under: Escherichia coli
Lineage: Bacteria; Pseudomonadati; Pseudomonadota; Gammaproteobacteria; Enterobacterales; Enterobacteriaceae
Description: partial 23S ribosomal RNA
Rfam family: Bacterial large subunit ribosomal RNA
Source: RNAcentral